This 483-nucleotide ribosomal RNA is filed under the name uncultured bacterium. Its description in RNAcentral is "partial 16S ribosomal RNA". It matches the Rfam family "Bacterial small subunit ribosomal RNA", at positions 30 to 507 of the family's 1533-position model. The record is from RNAcentral.
AUUGAACGCUGGCGGCAGGCCUAACACAUGCAAGUCGAGCGGAUGAAGGGAGCUUGCUCCUGGAUUCAGCGGCGGACGGGUGAGUAAUGCCUAGGAAUCUGCCUGGUAGUGGGGAUAACGUCCGGAAACGGGCGCUAAUACCGCAUACGUCCUGAGGGAGAAAGUGGGGGAUCUUCGGACCUCACGCUAUCAGAUGAGCCUAGGUCGGAUUAGCUAGUUGGUGGGGUAAAGGCCUACCAAGGCGACGAUCCGUAACUGGUCUGAGAGGAUGAUCAGUCACACUGGAACCGAGACACGGUCCAGACUCCUACGGGAGGCAGCAGUGGGGAAUAUUGGACAAUGGGCGAAAGCCUGAUCCAGCCAUGCCGCGUGUGUGAAGAAGGUCUUCGGAUUGUAAAGCACUUUAAGUUGGGAGGAAGGGCAGUAAGUUAAUACCUUGCUGUUUUGACGUUACCAACAGAAUAAGCACCGGCUAACUUCGUG